Non-coding RNA from Delphinapterus leucas (beluga whale), 475 nucleotides. The record is from RefSeq and is a predicted model, not a curated record. NCBI's taxonomy places the organism in Eukaryota, Metazoa, Chordata, Mammalia, Artiodactyla, Monodontidae.
AAUAAUAUAUCAUCUAAGGGCAAACAGACCAAGGUCCAGCAGAAAUGGUGAGUGAGACUCAUGGGCUGAAAGAAUGCUCUAGGUAGAAGAAAAUUCAUGUGUGAAUAUUAAAACCAAAGGGCAGAGUCUAGCUUCUUCAAGAGACUGAAAGUUUUUUCAAAAUGACUGGAAUAUAUGGAGAGUACAAGAUCAUGAUUGCUUAGAGAUAAGCUGGACAGGAUUGGCAUAGCCGUGCUGAGCACCAUGGCACACGGACUCCUACUGGCGCCAUCCCAGCCCUGGGAGCUAUAGCAUGAAGAUCAAGUUUUUGGAGUUUGCUCUAAUGAGAGAUUUCCUAUUGGAUCCAGGCCACAGUGAUGGUCUAGGAAGAUGCCAGGAGAAAAGAUUCAACCACACUUGAUGGAUUGCAAAAAUGACCCCAAAUCUUUAUUCCUUAGAGACUAGUGGACCAUGUUAGGAACACCUAGGUGCUUUA